Chiloscyllium plagiosum (whitespotted bambooshark) is the source of this 1123-nucleotide non-coding RNA. NCBI's taxonomy places the organism in Eukaryota, Metazoa, Chordata, Chondrichthyes, Orectolobiformes, Hemiscylliidae. The record is from RefSeq and is a predicted model, not a curated record.
CAGCCCUGAGUUUUCGGAGAUGACCAAUUUCAAAUUCCCGAGGGUGCAGAACGCGUACGGUCCGGCAGGAACUGGUCUGUAACCACCUCCGGCCUCUGCUCCAUGACUCCCAGCGUUCCCCAGUGGAAUGCCAGGCGGCUUUGGGACAGUGCAGACUUCCUGCCUUUGAACUGCCUGCUUCUGAGUUGCCUGGAAUGCUGCUCUGUCUUUUUGCUUCAGUCCUCCUGGCCCCUUGUUUCCACAGUGUCUGCACUGAUCCACAGCAAAUCCCGCUCUCUCAGGACCCAUUCCUGGAUGGGAUGGCUUCCCCAGCCGUCCUGAAUCCCCCACUCAUUCCUGGGAAUUACUGGAUUCCCACUGUUUCCAGCACGAUACGUCCGGACUCCAGAGUCUCCCCGACCCCCCUCAGGAAUUACCCCCGGAUUCCCAUCUGGAAUGACCCGCAGAUUCCCACCGAAUCUGUGCCUGCUUCCCGUUUCACAUCCGAAUCCUGGAUUCCCAUCGAUUUCUCUCGGGUUACGAAUCGGCUUCCCAUCGUCUGGGGGCUGUCUGGAAUAGCUUCCGGAUUCCCGCCGACUCUGCCGGAGUGAAUCUCACACUCUCCCCACCCCCACCCCCCCCCACCCAAACCCCCCCACCCCCCCGACGAUCCCGCUUCUCCGCAACCGGCCGUCAGAUUUCCCCGGAGCGUGGGCGAGAGAGGAGGAGCCACGGUGUCCGGCGCGGCCCGCUUCCUGGGGGAAUGGGUUCCGUUCCCGCCGCGGGAGUUGGGAUAAGUCUGGAAUGGAGCUCAGUACGUGAGAGAGAGCGAGACCUGCCCUGGACUGUCAGACCCAUCCCGGGAAUUGUGCCUCUUUUUCUCCGGGUCCUACACGUGACUCCAGACCACAACGCUCCGAAGUGCCGUGGCGAGAGAGAGAGAGAGAGAGGGAUACCUCAAUCUGCAUCCUGUUGGGAGGAUUUCUACUUAUUUCUCGCGCCAACCCCUCGGGGUAUUCCCAAAUCCUCCUCCUCCGCGGAUUUGGGAAUGCCGAGGAUUCACCCUCUCGCGCCGACGCCUGUGUUGCGAAUGGUAACUCAUUCCGAUUGUCGGGAAUAAAUCGACUGUGUUUCCCCUUGUGAA